UGUGACCUCGGANNNNNNNNNNNNNNNNNNNNNNNNNAAGCAUAUCAAUAAGCGGAGGAAAAGAAACCAACAGGGAUUGCCCUAGUAACGGCGAGUGAAGCGGCAACAGCUCAAAUUUGAAAUCUGGCUCUCGGGCCCGAGUUGUAAUUUGUAGAGGAUACUUUUGAUGCGGUGCCUUCCGAGUUCCCUGGAACGGGACGCCAUAGAGGGUGAGAGCCCCGUCUGGUUGGAUGCCAAAUCUCUGUAAAGUUCCUUCGACGAGUCGAGUAGUUUGGGAAUGCUGCUCUAAAUGGGAGGUAUAUGUCUUCUAAAGCUAAAUACCGGCCAGAGACCGAUAGCGCACAAGUAGAGUGAUCGAAAGAUGAAAAGCACUUUGAAAAGAGAGUUAAAAAGUACGUGAAAUUGUUGAAAGGGAAGCGUUUAUGACCAGACUUGGGCUUGGUUAAUCAUCUGGGGUUCUCCCCAGUGCACUUUUCCAGUCCAGGCCAGCAUCAGUUUUCCCCGGGGGAUAAAGACUUCGGGAAUGUGGCUCUCUUCGGGGAGUGUUAUAGCCCGUUGUGUAAUACCCUGGGGGGGACUGAGGUUCGCGCAUCUGCAAGGAUGCUGGCGUAAUGGUCAUCAACGACCCGUCUUGAAACACGGACCAAGGAGUCGUCUUCGUAUGCGAGUGUUCGGGUGUCAAACCCCUACGCGUAAUGAAAGUGAACGCAGGUGAGAGCUUCGGCGCAUCAUCGACCGAUCCUGAUGUUCUCGGAUGGAUUUGAGUAAGAGCAUACGGGGCCGGACCCGAAAGAAGGUGAACUAUGCCUGUAUAGGGUGAAGCCAGAGGAAACUCUGGUGGAGGCUCGCAGCGGUUCUGACGUGCAAAUCGAUCGUCAAAUAUGGGCAUGGGGGCGAAAGACUAAUCGAA
This 910-nucleotide ribosomal RNA is filed under the name Fusarium proliferatum. RNAcentral's name for it is "partial large subunit ribosomal RNA". It matches the Rfam family "Eukaryotic large subunit ribosomal RNA", at positions 1 to 939 of the family's 3401-position model. Lineage: Eukaryota; Fungi; Ascomycota; Sordariomycetes; Hypocreales; Nectriaceae. The record is from RNAcentral.